Molecule: long non-coding RNA, 1307 nt
Filed under: Anas platyrhynchos platyrhynchos (common mallard)
Lineage: Eukaryota; Metazoa; Chordata; Aves; Anseriformes; Anatidae
Description: lncRNA (ENSAPLG00000027115.1)
Source: RNAcentral
AGCUCUCAAACAAUUAGCAAAAUACUUUAAUUGUAGCUUAGGUAAGUUCAUUAAAUAUAAGGCUUCAAAUGGAAGGGAAGUGACAAUGCUAGCCACAUCUAUACUGCCAAACUAAGAACAGGGAAAGAGCCUGAGCCCUGAUCACCCAUAAUGCUUAACAGUUGUCUCACUCCCUGGGUUUCUUUUGAAUAGCUCUAAUGAUCUCUAUCCUGGACAAAUCUCCUAUGGAAAGGGCUAAGUUUAAACAGUGUGGACUGAGGCCAGUCAAUGCCGCUAGACUUUUAUGGUAAGGAUCAGUUUGGGCUUUUUUUCUCUUCAUUAACAUUGACAGCCACUGUGAUCUCUCACUUGUUCUGUACGUGAGAGCUAAAUUCCCUUUGAACUUAGUCUUUUUUUUUUUUUUUUUUUUUUUUUUUUUUUAAGCUGAAGACAAACAAAAGCAAAUUUCCAAUAAGUAGUUCCAGUUUUCAAGCAUACCUCCCAAAAUUGGUUCGGACCAGUAUUUCAGACUCAUCAUAAAUGUACAUAUAUAUAUAUAUAUUUAUUGCAGUUCAGUUGUCAAACUUAAAAAAUAUUUUUUUUUAAAAGCGCACUAGUUUACAGUCCUUUUCUUCAAAGAGUUUUCCUUCAAAAACAUGUGACAGCCUGUUAGUGGCACAGUACAGCCUGUACCUUCAAAUCAACAAAUUACUUAUUCUCUCCUUAAAGCAGUUAAAGUGAAGUGCAAAGUCAGUAGUGACCCAACAAUGCAGUGGUUUGCUUACAAAUGUGCUGCUCUGGGCCUCUCCAAGCUCACCUCUAAGUGGAAGUAGCUUGUAGGGACAUGGUAUAAUGCCCAGCAAGGCCCUGAGCUGGCUUUACUCUUUGAUAUAGACAGCUAUUUGCAUUUCUAGGCUGCCUGUUUGUGAUUAUCUGAUAAACCCUUUGAAGUUAACUCUGGCAUCUCUGCAUCUGACUGAAGCCACCGCUACCAUCUCGUUGUCCUGUGCUUCUGCCAUCUCAGCUGGGCAGCCCCUCUUGUCCCACCUCAGACAUCUCCCUUUUAAAACCGAACACGGAGAGUCGGUCCCGUGCUCAGAGCUGGAAAGAGGGCUCAGAUCUGCCCGCGGGAGGAUGUCUUUUGCUGAGGGAUGGACCAGGUGGUAUCUCAGCCACAGCCACAGCCCCGCUUGGCUGCUCUCUGGCAUGUGGCAAGAAGCAGCUUGCUGUCCUCCAGGUUUCAAGAUAAAUGCAAGAAAUGGGAAUGAAGAGAGCUGGAGACUGGUGGCAUGGUAGUAGGGGGAAUAAAAGCUCAAGCUUGCAGUGCA